GUCCAUGGUGCAAUCGGUUAGCGCGUUCGGCUGUUAACUGAAAGGUUGGUGGUUCGAGCCCACCCAGGGAUG
RNAcentral lists this transfer RNA (72 nucleotides) under Heterocephalus glaber (naked mole-rat). Its description in RNAcentral is "tRNA-Asn (GTT) (tRNA-Asn-GTT-5-1)". It matches the Rfam family "tRNA". Rfam says of the family: Transfer RNA (tRNA) molecules are approximately 80 nucleotides in length. Their secondary structure includes four short double-helical elements and three loops (D, anti-codon, and T loops). The record is from Rfam by way of RNAcentral. Lineage: Eukaryota; Metazoa; Chordata; Mammalia; Rodentia; Bathyergidae.